AGGGUGGCGUAGGCGGCCUGUUAAGUCAGGGGUGAAAGACGGUAGCUCAACUAUCGCAGUGCCCUUGAUACUGAUGGGCUUGAAUGGACUAGAGGUAGGCGGAAUGAGACAAGUAGCGGUGAAAUGCAUAGAUAUGUCUCAGAACACCGAUUGCGAAGGCAGCUUACUAUGGUCUUAUUGACGCUGAGGCACGAAAGCGUGGGGAUCAAACAGGAUUAGAUACCCCUGGU
RNAcentral lists this ribosomal RNA (230 nucleotides) under uncultured bacterium. RNAcentral describes it as "partial 16S ribosomal RNA". It matches the Rfam family "Bacterial small subunit ribosomal RNA", at positions 564 to 791 of the family's 1533-position model. The record is from RNAcentral.